This is a long non-coding RNA of Haliotis rufescens (red abalone), 318 nucleotides long. RefSeq lists it as uncharacterized. The transcript has 3 exons. Lineage: Eukaryota; Metazoa; Mollusca; Gastropoda; Lepetellida; Haliotidae. The record is from RefSeq and is a predicted model, not a curated record.
UCAUCCAUCUCGUCCAAUAUGAACAAGCUUUAUCUACAAGUUUUGCUCAUUGCCGUCCUGGUGGCCGUGUGUCUGGCAUCUUGGAAUGAGUAUGGUGACGGGUCAAGGCCACAGACGUAUGAAGUCCGCUAUGAUGAACCCCCACAGGCAUAUCACCAACCAUCAUCGGGUUGCUAAGCAACGAGGAGAGUACCUGAUUAAACCAGUCAAAUCAUAAGCUGUAAUUAAGGAGUGGUUGCAGUCAGUUUACUCGCGUUGCCAUAUUUGUUUUGUAACAAGUCAUUUAUAUGGGUUAAUAAAUAAAAUUGCAAAAUUAAA